RNAcentral lists this ribosomal RNA (440 nucleotides) under uncultured bacterium. RNAcentral's name for it is "partial 16S ribosomal RNA". It matches the Rfam family "Bacterial small subunit ribosomal RNA", at positions 338 to 795 of the family's 1533-position model. The record is from RNAcentral.
CCUACGGGAGGCAGCAGUGGGGAAUAUUGCACAAUGGGGGAAACCCUGAUGCAGCGACGCCGCGUGAGCGAUGAAGUAUUUCGGUAUGUAAAGCUCUAUCAGCAGGGAAGAAACAGACGGUACCUGAGUAAGAAGCCCCGGCUAACUACGUGCCAGCAGCCGCGGUAAUACGUAGGGGGCAAGCGUUAUCCGGAUUUACUGGGUGUAAAGGGAGCGUAGACGGCGAAGAAAGUCUGAAGUGAAAGCCCGCGGCUUAACCGCGGAACUGCUUUGGAAACUUUUUUGCUGGAGUACCGGAGAGGUAAGCGGAAUUCCUAGUGUAGCGGUGAAAUGCGUAGAUAUUAGGAGGAACACCAGUGGCGAAGGCGGCUUACUGGACGGUAACUGACGUUGAGGCUCGAAAGCGUGGGGAGCAAACAGGAUUAGAUACCCCAGUAGUC